Long non-coding RNA from Nerophis ophidion (straightnose pipefish), 2129 nucleotides. RefSeq lists it as uncharacterized. The record is from RefSeq and is a predicted model, not a curated record. NCBI's taxonomy places the organism in Eukaryota, Metazoa, Chordata, Actinopteri, Syngnathiformes, Syngnathidae. The transcript is spliced from 2 exons.
CCAGGGGAGCUUUUUUAUUUGCACCGAUGAGAGCGCGUGCAUAAGGCGCGCAAACUCAGCGGCGUGCUCGCGCGUGUAAAAAAAAAAAAAGCGAGCCGGGGACCGCGUGCCCUUUCAUUAGAGCUUCACUUCGAGGACCCUUCGAACCCCCCUUUACUGUUUCCAAGUGGUACAUUCCAGCCUUGCUUAUAUUCACUGUUGGGCUGCAUGUACACGAUCCAUCCCACCUCUUCCCAAUAAGCAGAUGAUGUGGUCCUGAUGGCUUCAUCUGGCCGGGAUCUUCUCUCACUGGAACGGUUCGCAGCCGAGUGUGAAGCGACCGGAAUGAGAAUCAGCACCUCCAGGUCCGAGUCCAUGGUUCUCACCCGGAAAAGGGUGGAAUGCCAUCUCCGGGUUGGGGAGGAGACCCUGCACCAUGUGGAGGAGUAGAAGUACCUAGGAGUUUUGUUCACCAGUGAGGGAAGAGUGGAUUAUGAGAUCGACAGGCGUCUUCAGUAAGGCGGACAUUGUACCGAUCUGUUGUGGUGAAGAAGGAGCUGAGCCGGAAGGCAAAGCUCUCAAUGUACCGGUCGAUCUACGUUCCCAUCCUCACCUAUGGUCCUAGGCUUUGGGUCGUGAUCGAAAGGAUAAGAUCACGGGUACAAGCGGCCGAAAUGAGUUUCUUCCGCCGGGUGGCAGGGCUCUCCUUUAGAGAUAGGGUGAGAAGCUCUGCCAUCCGGGAGGAGCUCAAAGUAAAGCCGCUGAUCCUCCACAUCGAGAGGAGCCAGAUAAGGUGGUUCGGGCAUCUGGUCAGGAUGCCACCCGAACGCCUCCCGAGGGAGGUGUUUGGGGCACGUCCAACCUGUAGGAGGCCACGUGGAAGACCCAGGACACUUUGGGAAGACUAUGUCUCCCGGCUGGCCUGGGAACGCCUCGGGAUAGAGCUAGACGAAGUGGCUGGGGAGAGGGAAGUCUGGGCUUCCCUGCUUAGACUGCUGCCCCCGCGACCCGAUCUCGGAUAAGCGGAAGAAGAUGGAUGGAUGGAUGGAUGGAUUGUAAUGAUUAAUGAUUACAAUAAUAUUGUCCCAUUCAUCAGUAUGAAUAUAUUAUAUUAACAAAACACCGCUGAUAAAAGUAACCCCAUUUUGUCAUACUUGCAUCCUUUAUUUAACUUUUUUUUAAUUUUAGUUAUAUUGUCCAGCUUCCUCCCAUAGCCAAAGACAUGCACCUGGUGAUAGGCUGAUUGGCAACAUUAAAUUGGCCCUAGUGUGUGAAUGUGCAUGUAAAUGUUGUGUUGGCCCUAGGGUGUACCCCGCCUCCCGCCCAAAUGCAGCAAAGAUAUAACCUAACUCUUGCUAGAUCCUUGUAGUUCGCAGAGCUCCACAGAUGGGCGUCCUCCUUGCCGGCGCAUCUUCCUCCCCGUCGGCCACGGAUGUGGCUUCUACGAGGUCGCCUCCCAAGACUUGUGCGGCAGCGGCGUUCCAUCCGCCGCCGCCACUUGACUUGUCCCCGGUGGAUUCGGGGACACAGGACCUGGCGGCCCUCCACCAUGUCCUCUCUCUGCCCUCGCUUCACUUUUGGACUGUCUUGUUGUGGGGGGAGAAGGGGGGGGAUUCUUUGUAUUUUGUGGGACAUCUGGGAUCUGUCCCUUAAAGGGGGGUACUGUUAUGAUCCGCUGGCCGGAUCAUAUAUAGUUUUUGUUUUUGAGUCCUUUUGUGUAUCUUGUUUGUUCUUGGAGUCUUCCGAUUCUUAGUUUGUGCACUUCCUUGUUUGUUUUGUCACCAUGGUAACUUAAUUUUCACCUGCCUUGACGCACACCUGUGUUGAUUAAUCACGUUCUGUAUUCAAGCCUGCCCUUUCCGUUCACUCGUUCUCUCCUCGUAGCUUGAGUUACAUACUGUUUUGUGUUUCACUAGUGACGCCUCGGCUUUCUGUAUUUGAACUCGCUAAUGCUUCCGCGUUUAGCCUUUUGUUGUUUCUCUAGCUCACAUGCUAGUAACUCUUUGUUUUGCCUUUUGUGCCAAGUGUAAGUUUUUCUGUUUGUUUUCCUAGCUCCCAUGCUAGCGUUCUUAGUUUCCCUUUUCUGCCUAGCACCAGUGUUUUUGUUCUGAGCCUGUUUUUAGUUAAAUAAACCAUGAUUUCUUACCGUA